AAUUCUGAUACCUCAUUCUGUUGUUUAUCAAAUUUUUUCUCAAAGGCACAUUUUUUUUUUUGACAAAAUACAAUAGACCGACCGAAUCCGCGAAAGAGUAGAACAACAACAACGUUCUUUAAUUUCCGUUUCCAAUAAUGAUAAAGCGAGAGUGCACAUACAUUGCGCCGUUAAUUAACCACAAAAAAAAAAAGAAGAAAAACAUAAUAAUAAAGCGAAUUAAAAUAAAUCCCUAAUUACGAAAGAAAAAAAAAAUAUAUCAGCAACCAAUAGAAGAAUCGAACCUACAUUAGAAAACUUGGUGAUACCUUGGACAAUAAUUAGAACUAUAAAAUAUAAAUCCAAUUGAAAUGUCUCGAUUGAGCCCUAAUCAUUCGAUAAAACAUCAAUUCGCCCAAUGAAUUCACAAUUGAAAAUGCCCAGAGAUGCUGGUAGGCACGCAAGAAACGAAGAAUUGGCACAGCUAGCCGAUCAAAGCACGAGAAACGUAAAAAAACCGUCGAAGACAAAUAAAAUCUAUUCAUUAAAAAUGUGUAAAAGAAUUUCCCGAGUGAUGUGAUGAUUGAGCUAAAUAAGCCCACUAUAUCGUAGAAACUAUCCUACACUAUUUCCUAUCAUUCUCGUCUCUCACACGCCCUUGCGUUAUCUCAAAUCAAGGCGUUCCUUCUUCAUCAUCAAUAAAAAGUGAAUAUGUAUAUCUUAAAGGUCUACCUAGUGCUUAAUUCCUACACGUAAUAAUCUCCAGAUGGUCAAUGACGGUAGCUCUGUCUAUAAAUUUCGUUCUCAUCCUCUAAAUAUCCAACAAAUGCCAAUGUUUUGAUAUACAUUUGUAUCAUAAAAUCAAUAAAAUCCCUACCGCCAUCGGUGUUUAUUAUCAAAGGCCCCGUGAGGCAGUACUUUAACGUUAUUAAAUCUUAUUCCAAUGAAAUAGCUAUGCAGAGUCAAUUCGAUACUAUCAUUAUCGCAUUUCAUAUCCUAUUUGUAAUAAUUAAACCUUACUCAGCAUUCCUAAUAAUAAUUGCUUAUAAAUUUUAUUUAUAAACUACUUAAUCACUAUUUGUAUUCAUUUCCCCUCUCACUACUCAACUAAUUACUUUAGUUUAUUAAUUUGUUUUUUUUUUCUAUUUAUUCAUUGUUUCAUCGCAACUCCGUUACCCCGAGUUUGCAGUAUCAAUCGAAAUCGAAUUUAAUUCACUCGAAAAACAAUUUUUCAUGAGUCGCAAGUAGAGCCUCAAGGUCAUAUGAUUCUCAUUGUUUUUUUUUACCGUGUACACUAAUCUGACGCAUUUCUUCUUGAAAUAUGAAAACAAAUUUCAUUAAUUCUCAUCUCGUUUAUACCUAGUAUUUAAAGGCCACAUGUUUUUUUUUUUAUCUUCCCCGACACUUUGAAUAUCAUGAAUGAUAAACAACGCUUGCAAGACUGCGUGAACUCUGUGUACAACCCAUUGAACUCUGCAUUGUAUUCCUGUUGAUAUCUGUCUAACCUCAAACAACUCAUUUAAAAAACAACGAAAAUGAUAAAUAAACUAGUUGUUUUGUGUUUUUUCCCCGUUAUCUUACUGUUUAGGAGUAUAUGAAGUUUUUUUUUUAUUUAUUAAAAUUGGUUACUUUACUUCUGUCUCAUAAAUAUUGUCUACGGUUUAUGGAAAUUCGGGCAGAUCGUGGCACGUGGAUUGUGUGACGUUGGGAAUAUGGGACCCAUUGUAUCUCACUGAUUUCAACAAUCAUUGUUCAUUUAAUUAAUUGAUCUUUGCUCACACGAUAAUCUCGCAAGUUCUCACUGUCACGCACUUCACUUAUUACCUACAAAUAUGCCUAGUCAACGUCAUUGAAUAGUAAUCACGUUGGUUUUUCUAUUUCAUAUAAUACUUGUUGCGUCUCGUUUAUUCCGAGAACAGCUGUUUGAUUAGAUCGCCGCAAUACAAUUGGUGGCGCUUCAGAUGGAACGUCAUUUGUCACGGAGUUCCUGAGUUUUUUUUUUGUUAAAAAAAAAAGGGGGUGAAGAUAUGGGAUAGCGUCUGCUGAGGGAUUGUAUGAGAGAACUAAUAAUUGGGGAUUGCAUUUUAUCCUGUUGCAGUCCAUUUCAAAACAUCAAGAGCCAUUCGUUAAAAAUACGUUAAAAUACGUAUGCUGGAUUUUUCUGGGAAGAGAGAAUGGUUCAGCAAUGGAGGAAUUAAUGCCAAGUCCCAAUAAUCGGAACCCCUCGGUCACAGAACUCUCCUCAGUGAUAGGAUUCUACGAUUAAAGGAGUUGUCAGUUGAAUGGAAACUGGAGAACUUUCGAGUUUAAUCAGUGAAUCGCGAUUAAUCCGUAUUAAAUCGACCUGACUGAGCAUCAAUACUACUAUUUCGUAUACUCGUUAUAAAUUAAAAAAAAAACAGUCAAUCACAAAUUGUGUUUGAGUGGGAGACAUGAACUGGAGGAAUAUCUUAACGGAAAUCGCUUAAAGAGCUAUCUACAAGUAUUUAUAUAAUAUAUAUCCUUUUGCUUUUUUUCAUUUCCUAUAAAUAUAUACUUAAAUGCAUCGUAGGAAUCUGCAGUUACUUGUGGCAGUCUUCGGUUUUAUAUUCACCCUGAUAAUUUGGAGGGGGAAUUUAACCGUUCACGUAUAACUGAGGAUUAUAAAUUACUUUGAGUUGACUAAAGAGAAUGGAAAUGUGUUAAUUAUUACAUGGCGGUCGAUGAUUAGGAGAACACGGAAUGGACUAUGUACGUUUAUUGAAUGUUUGUGUGCUAGAUCGCUCUUGAUUGUCAGGUCGAUUCAAUGAUUAUAUAUUUUUCUUAUUCUCACUUGUUGAGUCCCCAUUGGCGUCACACGUGUACGAUCGUGUCCGGUUUUUAAAAUAUGGAACCAGUGUGACCAGAAUGGUUGCUAUGGAAGAGCUCCGGUGUCUUUUUUCUUUACAGUUAAAUGUUAGUUUCAUUUUCUUUUUUUUUUUUCAUCUGCCGGACGGUCGCGGUGUCACCCAGGGCUGUCCACUUUUCUGCUUUUUUCUUUUUUCAAAACAAUCUAUCCGCUCUAAAUUCCUCUAGAUUGUGCAAACCGGACGAAGUCAAACCUGCCAGAGGUUGUUCGAGUUUAUUCAAAUCCGCCAUCACCGGAAUCACUCGUCAAUUUAUAUAAAAUAAUUUAUCUCGAUUACAUCGAGUCUCAUAGACCAACACAAAUAUGAUUUUUUCAUUUAAUGUUAAAGCCUAGUGUAGUACGUUUCAGAGUUUUUUUUUAUCAUUUUUUUUUUUCGGUGACAGCACCAGGGACAGCACGACGCAUUUAGUCUCUGAGUUUGCAUCGGUACAUCUCGCGAAGUUAGAAUAUUAAUUUCUAAAUUAAUUAAUUAAAAAAAAAACCAAGCUCGAAUGUUUGUGUCUUCAUUAUUUCAUAGGAAAACGAGACGUCUUGCUGCUUUAAGCGUCGUACACCAGCGACGAUAUAAACCCCUUACCCUAGUACUUGAUGAUAAAAUCCAUCAAAAUUCCUAAUAUCUGCGUUAAUGAAAUGAUACCCUAAAUCGGCGUUAUGUCUUUAUGAAAAAUCUAGGUCACGUCGUUCGAUCGCCGAUAUUCACAAACCGAGAUGAUCACCCUGAAUCAAUCGGCUUCGCAAUCAAAAUUUAAUAAUAAUACGCGUAAAGUAUUUUCCCACUCAGUCACGGAAUUCGAACUUUCAUUGCUUUGUAUCUCCCAAUCAUCCCUCUCGCAUUAUACAAAAAUGAUUAUUAAAAUCAUCAUGGAAUAAAAAAAGAAAAUAGAGGAAAAAAAAAAAUCACAACGACUCGGAAGUGUCGCUCGAGGGCCCGGAAGACCAGCCACCGGCUUUGUCCCCCACCC
Long non-coding RNA from Fopius arisanus, 3828 nucleotides. RefSeq lists it as uncharacterized. The transcript is spliced from 3 exons. NCBI's taxonomy places the organism in Eukaryota, Metazoa, Arthropoda, Insecta, Hymenoptera, Braconidae. The record is from RefSeq and is a predicted model, not a curated record.